CGGGGCGUAGCCCAGCUUGGUAGGGCGCUUGGUUCGGGACCAAGAGGUCGCAAGUUCAAAUCUUGUCGCCCCGA
Molecule: transfer RNA, 74 nt
Filed under: Clostridiales bacterium
Lineage: Bacteria; Bacillati; Bacillota; Clostridia; Eubacteriales
Description: tRNA-Pro
Rfam family: tRNA
About the family: Transfer RNA (tRNA) molecules are approximately 80 nucleotides in length. Their secondary structure includes four short double-helical elements and three loops (D, anti-codon, and T loops).
Source: RNAcentral